RNAcentral lists this ribosomal RNA (234 nucleotides) under Eremothecium coryli. RNAcentral's name for it is "partial 26S rRNA". It matches the Rfam family "Eukaryotic large subunit ribosomal RNA", at positions 1612 to 1845 of the family's 3401-position model. The record is from RNAcentral. Lineage: Eukaryota; Fungi; Ascomycota; Saccharomycetes; Saccharomycetales; Saccharomycetaceae.
AAGAUUCCGGNCCUGGAUAUGGAUUCUUCACGGUAACGUAACUGAGUGUGGAGACGUCGGCGUGAGCCCUGGGAGGAGUUAUCUNUUCUUCUUAACAGCUUAUCACCCUGGAAUUGGUUUAUCCGGAGAUAGGGUNUUAUGGCUNGAAGAGCCAGCAUCUAUGCUGGGUCCGGUGCGCUUACGACGGCCCUUGAAAAUCCACAGGAAGGAAUAGUUUUCAUGCCAGGUCGUCCU